RNAcentral lists this ribosomal RNA (404 nucleotides) under uncultured bacterium. Its description in RNAcentral is "bacterial SSU rRNA". It matches the Rfam family "Bacterial small subunit ribosomal RNA", at positions 29 to 416 of the family's 1533-position model. The record is from RNAcentral.
AACGAACGCUGGCGGCGUGCCUAACACGUGCAAGUCGUGCGAGAAAGUUCCUUCGGGAGCGAGUAAAGCGGCGCACGGGUGAGUAACACGUAGGUAACCUGCCCCCCAGUCUGGAACAACUAGAGGAAACUCUAGCUAAUGCCGGAUGAGACCACGAUCCCUUCGGGGGUUGCGGCCAAAGAUGGCCUCUACUUGUAAGCUAUCGCUGAGGGAUGGGCCUGCGGGCCAUUAGCUUGUUGGUGAGGUAACGGCUCACCAAGGCUGUGAUGGCUAGCUGGUCUGAGAGGAUGACCAGCCACACUGGGACUGAGACACGGCCCAGACUCCUACGGGAGGCAGCAGUGGGGAAUAUUGCGCAAUGGGCGAAAGCCUGACGCAGCGACGCCGCGUGGGUGAUGAAGGCC